AUGUGGGAGAUGCGGAUGGAGCUCCUGGCGCAGGUCAGGGCCCCGUGCACCCACAGGGAGACCCGGAUGGAGCUCCUGGUGCAGGUCAGGGCCCCGUGCACCUGCUGCACCCACAGGGAGACCCGGAUGGAGCUCCUGGUGCAGCUCAGGGCCCCGUGCACCUGCUGCGCCCACAGGGAGACCCGGAUGGAGCUCCUGGUGCAGGUCAGGGCCCCGUGCACCCACAGGGAGACCCGGAUGGAGCUCCUGGUGCAGGUCAGGGCCCCAUGCACCUGCUGCACCCACAGGGAGACCCGGAUGGAGCUCCUGGCGCAGCUCAGGGCCCCGUGCGCCCACAGGGAGACCCGGAUGGAGCUCCUGGCGCAGGUCAGGGCCCCGUGCACCCACAGGGAGACCUGGAUGGAGCUCCUGGCGCAGGUCAGGGCCCCAUGCACCCACAGGGAGACCGGAUGGAGCUCCUGGUGCAGCUCAGGGCCCCGUGCACCUGCUGCACCCACAGGGAGACCCGGAUGGAGCUCCUGGCGCAGGUCAGGGCCCCGUGCACCCACAGGAAGACCCGGAUGGAGCUCCUGGCGCAGGUCAGGGCCCCGUGCACCCACAGGGAGACCUGGAUGGAGCUCCUGGCGCAGGUCAGGGCCCCGUGCACCCACAGGGAGACCGGAUGGAGCUCCUGGUGCAGGUCAGGGCCCCAUGCACCUGCUGCACCCACAGGGAGACCUGGAUGGAGCUCCUGGUGCAGGUCAGGGCCCCGUGCACCUGCUGCACCCACAGGGAGACCUGGAUGGAGCUCCUGGUGCAGGUCAGGGCCCCGUGCACCCACAGGGAGACUUGGAUGGAGCUCCUGGCGCAGGUCAGGGCCCCGUGCACCCACAGGGAGACUUGGAUGGAGCUCCUGGCGCAGGUCAGGGCCCCGUGCACCCACAGGGAGACCCAGAUGGAGCUUCUGGUGCAGCUCAGGGCCCCGUGCACCUGCUGCACCCACAGGGAAACCCGGAUGGAGCUCCUGGCUCCCAGAUUUGGCCCUGGCCCAGCCCUGGCUGUUCUGGGCCUUUAGGGAAUGAACCAACAUAUGAGUUCACUCGCUAG
Molecule: long non-coding RNA, 1086 nt
Filed under: Oryctolagus cuniculus (rabbit)
Lineage: Eukaryota; Metazoa; Chordata; Mammalia; Lagomorpha; Leporidae
Description: lncRNA (ENSOCUG00000035794.1)
Source: RNAcentral